Molecule: long non-coding RNA, 667 nt
Organism: Felis catus (domestic cat)
Lineage: Eukaryota; Metazoa; Chordata; Mammalia; Carnivora; Felidae
Exons: 4
Source: RefSeq, a predicted model, not a curated record
UUUCCAGGUGCGCAAGUCUGUGGGCCAUGUUUAUUGACGAUCUGUUUUUUACUGCCUUUCCUAUUCGAAAUUGGUGUUGCCCUCUCAUGUCGCCACUCGAAAGCAACACCAGAAAGACCCUCCCAUCCCACCUCCCCUCUUCCUUCCGCAGGGUACGAUCCUGCUCAUUUCAAGUCUCAAUGCACUCGUCGCCCUUGACCAGUUCUACCUCCUUUCUCCCCAAAGAAUGAACCACCCCCCCUCCUCUGGGACUCUUACAGCACUUUUUAUUGUCAGUAAAUAAGUAACUCUCUCUCAGAGCCUCGGUUUCUUCACCAGUGGGAUGAGAUCCUUCCUUACGGAAGUGACGCAAGAAAAUCACACCGCAUGGAAAACAUCAAGUGACAGGAAUAUACUCUGCUUCUCAGCUGGUCUGGACCAGAUUUGCUAAAACAGAUGAAGAGGACCCUUGAGAUCCCUAGUGUCAACAGACAGAACACCGAAGCUUUGAUCUCAACGCAGAGACUGUCAUCAGUCACUGCACUUUGGAGAUGUUCCCCUUGGAAGCCCAUCAACAAAUUGGAAAAUUUACAGGGGAUAAUCUUCUCCCCCACCAGCAAGACAGCUGACUGCAACAAUAUAAGUGACCCCUGAUAUAGGAAAAUGGGUGAGACACUUACUGGCUCUC